AUGAUUCUGGACCAGCUUACCAAUGAAGAAAAUGUGAUCAUGGACCAGCUUGUAGAUGAAGAUGCCCUAGCCAUUCCUGAAGGUCCCAACACUUGUUCCAGAUCAAAGAAACUCAAUGAAGCUGAUGGAGGAAUACUCAAGAUGUCAAGGAAGCAAGAAGAUUGUCUUGGUUGCAGCUUGAUCAACCAAGACACACUCAUCACAAUUCAAGCUACUCCACCUUCAAGCUGAUCAUCAUCUAAGCAAGUAGCUUGUGUGUGCUCUUUUCCUAACCUUUGGUUUUGUCCCACUGGGUUUUCCAAAGGAAGGUUUUUAACGAGGCCACAAGUUUACUUUCACAUCUCCUAGAUGAUGAUCCCGGACCAACCACAUUAUCUAUCUUAUGUUAUUUUUAUCCUAUGUUUUAUGUUUUGAAUAAUUUCGAAAACUUGGUCUUUGUUUAGUUUCCAAGGGAGCCUGUUCCCUUUAUUUUUAUUUCUAUUUCGAGACCUUGUGCAUGUACAAGGGCCUCUCUUUAUAUUCUGGUCGUGACCCCCCUUUAUGAUUAAGCAAUCUUUUUAUCAAAAACCCUUUUCUCUCUUCUCUCUUGUCUUUGGCGAGUUGAAGUGUGUCUGGUGUGUAAUAUCCAGUCUGUUGGUGUGUAAUAUCCAACGCCCAAGGGCUUUAGAGAGGUGUGUCAUAUCCGAUCUAAGCCUAGGAGUAUCAAGAAGCCUUUCCGCAGCCUCUUGUGUCACCAUUCGAUCCACAUACCUUGAGAAGCUUGAGUCUUUUGAUUCGUUUCUGCAAGGAUUAUCCCAUCUGUUCCAGAGCAUCAUCCUAGGAUCUCAUUAAGUGGUAUCAGAGCAACUCUGGAAGGGAAGUGUGUUGAUUUCUAUCUGUUUUCGAUUUGAUCUCUUCAUAUUCUGUUGAGAUUUUGAUCGAUAUGUGUUUCUAUUGUUGAAAUCUGUUAGAUCUAAGUGUUUUUGAUCACGAAUCUGGUGAAGUCUCUUCAUAUACUCUUUGAUUUCGUGUUGAUCUGUGUUCCUUGUGAAGAAAUCUAUCGAAUUUGGGUUAAUUAGAUCUUGUUUUGGGUAUUAGACUGUUCGGAUCCUUGUUUAUCAAGUUAUCCGAUUGCUUAAUCUUAAUCUGUUUGUUGAUUGCAGUCGAUCUGUUCUUAUUGUUUUAGAUCUAUUCUUGCUUGAUCUAAAUCUCAUCAUCUGUUAUCAUAUCAUCUCUGAUCGUGUGUUGAUUGAUAUUUUGAAACCUGCUCCGUGUAGUGCAAGUUUGAUUGAUUUCGUUUUGAUAUUUUUGUUUUGAAAAAUCUGUGCUUGAAUCUGAAAUCGAAAUCUAUCUCUCCAUUUUUUGUGUUCUAGUUUCGAAAUCAAUCUGAUCUGAUAGGCUUAAGAUUUCAAUUAUGUUCUGAUUAGUUUUGAUCUCUUUAAAUCAUUGGUUGAGUUUGAAUUUGUUCUGAGAAUUGUCUAAAGUUUUAAGCUUCAAUUUGAAUCUCUGAUUUUUGCAAAUUGGUUGUUUGUUUUCUCUGUAGAACUAUUUACUGGCUUAGUCUUUCUCUUGUCUCAGGUACCAUGCCAGGAGAUCAAAAAGGAGAACUCAGCAAGAAAGAAAAGCUUUUUCUUGAAGAAUUCACAGCCAGUAUGGAUAAAGCCUGCAAAGAUCAAUUGAGAAAAUUCAGACAAGACAUACAGCAGCAAAGGAAAGGCAGAUCAUCCAGAGAUGAGUACAAGAAAAAGGAGUUUGAUCAGAUGGACAGAAACUGGAAGCAUGCUGGAUUGAAAUAUCAAAUUCCUUCUUUUCAUGGCAAGGCUGAUCCUGAAGCUUAUGUGAAGUGGGAAAAGAAGAUUGAGUUGAUUUUCAGUAGUCAAUACUAUGCUGAAAAAAAGAAGAUUCAAAUGGCUACUGCUGAGUUUUGUGGUCAUGCUUUAAGAUGGUGGAAUCAGUUGGUAAAGUGCAGAAGACUUGAUGGAAAAGAACCAGUGGAAACAUGGCUUAAGCUGAGGGCUUUGAUGCGUAGAGAGUACGUUCCAAGACAGUACCACAAGGAAGUUAUUCAAAAGCAGCCUGAGACAAAGCUAUGUUCUUCAUUAUCAGUUCAGAAACAACCAGACAGCAAGAGAUCAAGUCCAUAUAGUAACCUGGUUUCAUCAAGCAAAACAUCAACCCAUUCCUUUGAAGAUAGCAUAAGGAAGGCAAUUUCACAAGCGUUUAGGGAUGUGGAGAAACAAUUUAAACAGUCCAAGACUAUAUCUCCAUCCUUAGAAGUACAGAACCAAGCGCCUUCCUCAACUGUCUCAGAACUCAAAGAUGCAGAACCAGACUCAGUUUCACAAUCAGACUUGGCUGCACUAGUUCAAGAAGAUCAAACCGAGAUUCCAACAAUCACCAUUCAGAAAGAUGAUCAACCCAUCAAGGACGACCUGAUUCUCUUCAAACAUGAUGUAAUAGAAGAGGAGGCACCCAUGGCAUCAAAAUCAGACAGUGGAGUAGAGCAUCUAUUUGUCACUGAUUCAAACGGUUUCCAAAGGACAUUCUUGGGUACUUUUCUCAUCAGUCCUUUUGUGUGGAACAAGACCAGAGCAGUAGAGCUUUCAAGACACGAACUGGGCAUGGAACAUGUUGUAUUUGAGCCUGGAGGAGAGUUGUGGAAUCACAGGAACAAUCCCAUAGUGAUUGAGAAGAAAUCGGCAGCAACAACAAUUGUUUUUGGUGAUCUUUCACCCUCUGAAGCUAAAGGGAUGCACGUCUCAGCUCAGCAAGAGUUUCACUACGAAACCAAUUGGAGAAUGUUACCCACUCUUUCCUGGAUCCAACAAACAAGAAAACGCAGCAAAUGGCCUCCUGAUCAUCAAGAUAUUGUCAAUUCCGCAAGACAUAUCGGUUUAGCCAAAUUCUGUGAGCUGCUUAUAUCAGAUUGGGGUGGAAGGUUACGGUUCUACUUGUGGAAAACUGGAGCAUAUGCCAGCAUACUUAUCAUCCUUGGAGAGUGCUCUGCUCGUGGUAGAACCAGUUGGGGUAAUAAAGAGUUGGAAGCUGAUCAAAAUGCCUUGCUUCUUGAUCAUGUCAAGGUGUGGAAGCCACCAGAUUUGCAAAAGCUUCAAUACCAUUUCAGAGAUUGUCAAACCAAGAGUGGAGAUGGAGAUUUCACUAGAGUAAAUGGUGAAGUGAUUACUGGAAUAGGAGGAGAACUCAUGUUUUCUUCUCAAAUCAAAGAGAAACCACCAGAUGGACUCAGUCUACAUCAAUCUCCAAAUAAAUCAGCCCGAGGUAAUUAUCUAGAUUCAAAGAAACGCAUGAAACCUGAUUUGCUUUAUAUUGGUACAGGUCAAACAGUUUUGAGUGCUAUACUUUUCGAAAGGAGAGGCUAUAGUAAUAAUCAGAGUAUCAAGAAUGGAUCCUUGGCUAAGUUGGAGAUGCAACAAUCAAAUCUUGGAAGCUGUCUAGCCGCCAACUUUGACAUAGGAGCAGUCCGAGGAUCAUAUCUCAGCAACCACAAGGAAUUAAUCAACAAACUCGACUGCUAUGGAAACUUAAAUCAUCAGGGUCUCACGUCGAAUUGGAUUCAUGUCCAAAGCUUCUCAGGUGAAAGAGUUAUGGGUUCUACAAGUCAGGUGAUCUUCUGUGUGCUUUGUUUGAAUUUUUCUGAGUUCAGAAAAUCUCAAUCCUAUCUAUGGCGACCAGGUGAGCAUGCUAAGGUAAUUGAUCAUGUUUUCAAGAAUUAUUUUAGUAUUGAUUACACAGAUAUGAUGCACUUGUUUUUGUCAAAAGAGCCAUGUGCAGAUUAUAAGGAAGCUUGGAAGCAUACAAGGAGAAAGAACAAGCAUGAGGAAGAUAAGAGAUUUAAACCACCUGAUCUGGAUCAGCAUAACCAUGAAGACAUCUCUGGUUUUAUCCUCAUCAAAGAAGCUCCCCCAGAUGCAGCCUACAAUCCAAAACCGAGCAAAAACCGAUUUGGGAUAAGACUCUUACUCUUUGAUAAAUUUUCAUUUGCUAACUUGUUGUGUUUCAAUGAGUUUGAAUCAGGUUUUAGGUAUGCAUCAUGAGUAUGGAUAACCCAACAGAUCAGUCCCUUCUACAUUACAGAACCAAUCAGCAACAACGCCUAUCAAAGAGGCUUGCAAGGUGAGUAUAAUCUGAUUUUAAACUUUAAGGUUACUGACUUGGUCCCUCUUACUGCAGGUAAAACAGAUUUGAGGACAAAUCUUUUUCAAGAGGGAGGGAAUGAUAUGAUUCUGGACCAGCUUACCAAUGAAGAAAAUGUGAUCAUGGACCAGCUUGUAGAUGAAGAUGCCCUAGCCAUUCCUGAAGGUCCCAACACUUGUUCCAGAUCAAAGAAACUCAAUGAAGCUGAUGGAGGAAUACUCAAGAUGUCAAGGAAGCAAGAAGAUUGUCUUGGUUGCAGCUUGAUCAACCAAGACACACUCAUCACAAUUCAAGCUACUCCACCUUCAAGCUGAUCAUCAUCUAAGCAAGU
This 4465-nucleotide long non-coding RNA is filed under the name Brassica rapa (field mustard). RNAcentral's name for it is "long non-coding RNA (BRAP_LNC008610)". The record is from RNAcentral. Lineage: Eukaryota; Viridiplantae; Streptophyta; Magnoliopsida; Brassicales; Brassicaceae.